Molecule: transfer RNA, 76 nt
Filed under: Xanthomonas cissicola
Lineage: Bacteria; Pseudomonadati; Pseudomonadota; Gammaproteobacteria; Lysobacterales; Lysobacteraceae
Description: [Pseudomonas] cissicola tRNA-Ala
Rfam family: tRNA
About the family: Transfer RNA (tRNA) molecules are approximately 80 nucleotides in length. Their secondary structure includes four short double-helical elements and three loops (D, anti-codon, and T loops).
Source: RNAcentral
GGGGCGGUAGCUCAGCUGGGAGAGCGUCGCGUUCGCAUUGCGAAGGUCGUGGGUUCGAUCCCCAUCCGCUCCACCA